Molecule: long non-coding RNA, 367 nt
Organism: Anguilla anguilla (European eel)
Lineage: Eukaryota; Metazoa; Chordata; Actinopteri; Anguilliformes; Anguillidae
Exons: 3
Source: RefSeq, a predicted model, not a curated record
GCCUUAUAUCGUGACAGCGCGGCAGAUGUCAUUCUUACAAGGGUGGCGAAGUUGGGAAAGUUGAGCAGCUUCCAGUUGGAAUAGCAGUUCUGUCCCCGUGGAGUUCACAACACAACCCAUAGUAUCAUUACAGGAGAAACCUGGCGAGGCAGGCCCCGCACUAGAGCUGCGCCAAGACAGAGAAAGGCAGACGCGAAGUGUCCUCGCUCGAGCCUAACGCUCAACUCUCUAGUCUGUCUGAGAGCGUCUUUGAUGAGACAACAGGAUGACCUGGUGAUCUCAGCUCUGCAGAUGCCCUCACGUCCUGCCGAGCCGCGCCAGGGCGUGGCCGUGCCCGUGCCACGCGUCAAAGGGGCUCACCUGUUCA